Molecule: long non-coding RNA, 542 nt
Organism: Solanum pennellii
Lineage: Eukaryota; Viridiplantae; Streptophyta; Magnoliopsida; Solanales; Solanaceae
Exons: 3
Source: RefSeq, a predicted model, not a curated record
AGAAAAUUGCAUUUCUCUGUUGACCAUGCCACCCAUUUUCGAGGAGAAAUAAUCAACUCGGAUAAAAUGCAAGUUUACAAGUGACUUGAAAUUGUUACAAACAAGAUCACACACACUAAGAAACAAGGUGUACAACACUAUUUGGUGAAAUUGGUCAUGAUUUAGAUUUCACAGCUGAAGAUUUUUGUUUGGAAGUUGUUGUCUAUAUGGAAAAAAUAAUGAAGACUCAACGUGUUCCAAUUAUUGAUGGAGGGUCAAAUUCGUAUCUAGAAAAACUUGUGGAAGACCCUGUGGUCAUGUUCAAAUAUAAGAACGAUAGUUGCUUUAUUUGGAUUGAUGUUGAGCAAUAAGUAUUGAACCGCAGAGUUGACAUGAGGGAUGAUCAAAUGCAAGCACGGCUAAUGGAUGAGGUGAGGCAGAUUUUCAUUCCAGAUAUAGAUUACACCAAAGGAAUCCGACUGUAACGACCCUCUUAGUCGUUUUAUGAAUUUUACUCAUUUUUCUAAGUUUAAUCCUUUUAGUAAUUUUUAUAAAUAAUUUAU